RNAcentral lists this ribosomal RNA (636 nucleotides) under Bacillus paranthracis. Its description in RNAcentral is "bacterial SSU rRNA". It matches the Rfam family "Bacterial small subunit ribosomal RNA", at positions 1 to 616 of the family's 1533-position model. The record is from RNAcentral. Lineage: Bacteria; Bacillati; Bacillota; Bacilli; Caryophanales; Bacillaceae.
UUUAUUGGAGAGUUUGAUCCUGGCUCAGGAUGAACGCUGGCGGCGUGCCUAAUACAUGCAAGUCGAGCGAAUGGAUUAAGAGCUUGCUCUUAUGAAGUUAGCGGCGGACGGGUGAGUAACACGUGGGUAACCUGCCCAUAAGACUGGGAUAACUCCGGGAAACCGGGGCUAAUACCGGAUAAUAUUUUGGACCUCAUGGUUCAAAAUUGAAAGGCGGCUUCGGCUGUCACUUAUGGAUGGACCCGCGUCGCAUUAGCUAGUUGGUGAGGUAACGGCUCACCAAGGCAACGAUGCGUAGCCGACCUGAGAGGGUGAUCGGCCACACUGGGACUGAGACACGGCCCAGACUCCUACGGGAGGCAGCAGUAGGGAAUCUUCCGCAAUGGACGAAAGUCUGACGGAGCAACGCCGCGUGAGUGAUGAAGGCUUUCGGGUCGUAAAACUCUGUUGUUAGGGAAGAACAAGUGCUAGUUGAAUAAGCUGGCACCUUGACGGUACCUAACCAGAAAGCCACGGCUAACUACGUGCCAGCAGCCGCGGUAAUACGUAGGUGGCAAGCGUUAUCCGGAAUUAUUGGGCGUAAAGCGCGCGCAGGUGGUUUCUUAAGUCUGAUGUGAAAGCCCACGGCUCAACCGU